AGAGUUGAUCAUGGCUCAGAACGAACGCUGGCGGCAGGCCUAACACAUGCAAGUCGAGCGCGCCCUUCGGGGUGAGCGGCGGACGGGUUAGUAACGCGUGGGAACGUACCCUUUGGUAGGGAAUAGCCACUGGAAACGGUGAGUAAUACCCUAUGAGCCCUUCGGGGGAAAGAUUUAUCGCCAAAGGAUCGGCCCGCGUUAGAUUAGGUAGUUGGUGGGGUAAUGGCCUACCAAGCCUACGAUCUAUAGCUGGUUUUAGAGGAUGAUCAGCAACACUGGGACUGAGACACCGGCCCAGACUCCGUACGGGAGGCAGCAGGUGGGGAAUCUUGGACAAGUGGGGGCCAACCCUGAACUCCAGCCAUGCCGCGUGAAGGAAGAAGUUAUUUCGGUAUAGUAAACUUCUAUCAGCGGGGAAGAAGAUGACGGUACCCGCACAAGAAGCCCCGGCUAACUACGUGCCAGCCGCCGC
RNAcentral lists this ribosomal RNA (472 nucleotides) under uncultured bacterium. RNAcentral's name for it is "bacterial SSU rRNA". It matches the Rfam family "Bacterial small subunit ribosomal RNA", at positions 8 to 518 of the family's 1533-position model. The record is from RNAcentral.